Small nucleolar RNA from Carlito syrichta (Philippine tarsier), 109 nucleotides. The record is from Ensembl. NCBI's taxonomy places the organism in Eukaryota, Metazoa, Chordata, Mammalia, Primates, Tarsiidae.
UGCCCGGUGAUGACACCAUCCUUGCUCCCCGUGCCCCCAGGGGCUGUGGGCGACACCUUGGCUGCCCCUGGGCUGGGCCGGUUGGGCCAGUGUCCAGGGGCUGAGGGCA